RNAcentral lists this ribosomal RNA (325 nucleotides) under uncultured eukaryote. RNAcentral describes it as "partial 18S ribosomal RNA". It matches the Rfam family "Eukaryotic small subunit ribosomal RNA", at positions 1469 to 1796 of the family's 1831-position model. The record is from RNAcentral.
CCCCUUAGAUGUUCUGGGCUGCACGCGCGCUACACUGAAGCUAUCAACACGUUUUCCCUCCCUGAGAAGGGCGGGUAACCUUUUGAAUCAGCUUCGUGGUAGGGAUCGGGGCUUGCAAUUGUUCCCCGUGAACCAGGAAUUCCUAGUAGACGCGAGUCAUAAGCUCGCAUCGAUUAAGUCCCUGCCCUUUGUACACACCGCCCGUCGCUACUACCGAUUGAACGUUUUAGUGAGGCAUUUGGACCGACGCAUCUCAGUUUAACCGCUGGUUUGUGUUGGAAAGACUUCCAAACUUGAGCGUUUAGAGGAAGUAAAAGUCGUAACA